UGUUUUAGAAUCUUAAAUAAAAUAUUAAAUUGCAAAUUUAAUAAAAUUAUUUGAAUAUAAUUAAGAUUU
RNAcentral lists this transfer RNA (69 nucleotides) under Bathynella cf. rufa JHS-2017. Its description in RNAcentral is "tRNA-Cys". The record is from RNAcentral. Lineage: Eukaryota; Metazoa; Arthropoda; Malacostraca; Bathynellacea; Bathynellidae.